UGCAAACGGCAUGAUUGAGCGGCUGCAUCGCACCCUGAAGGCUGCAAUCAUGGCGCACGGCGAACAGCGUUGGACUGACGCACUCCCAAUGGUUCUCCUGGGUCUCCGAACGGCCUGGAAAGAAGACCUCAAAUGUUCUGCCGCUGACCUGCUGUAUGGUGAGCCAUUGAGGAUUCCCGGACAAUAAUUCUCCGAAGGGGGUGAUGUGGCGGCACGCCACGUCCCAUCACUAGCGGAGGCUACACCCAUCACUACGCGCGCCACCACUCCAGGCGUGCGAGGGGCAUGCAAGCGGUGCGGGUGUGCCGCGGCCGAGGGGCGAGGAACCGGGCCCCAGUCGACCGGCGCCCGCGCCAGUGCUACGCAAAUCGCUUCCCGCGCAAGACCUAUGUCGCUUCGCCGCUCCGCCGCCUUGCUUAUUACGCGCUUAGCUUAUGCUUAUAAUAUACUUAAGUUGUAAAUACUGUGCAGAAACGAACAUUAUACGUUUAUAUGUGGA
Plutella xylostella (diamondback moth) is the source of this 499-nucleotide long non-coding RNA. RefSeq lists it as uncharacterized. NCBI's taxonomy places the organism in Eukaryota, Metazoa, Arthropoda, Insecta, Lepidoptera, Plutellidae. The record is from RefSeq and is a predicted model, not a curated record.